AAAUUGAAGAGUUUGAUCAUGGCUCAGAUUGAACGCUGGCGGCAGGCCUAACACAUGCAAGUCGAGCGGCAGCGGGAAGUAGUUUACUACUUUGCCGGCGAGCGGCGGACGGGUGAGUAAUGUCUGGGAAACUGCCUGAUGGAGGGGGAUAACUACUGGAAACGGUAGCUAAUACCGCAUAACGUCUUCGGACCAAAGUGGGGGACCUUCGGGCCUCACGCCAUCGGAUGUGCCCAGAUGGGAUUAGCUAGUAGGUGGGGUAAUGGCUCACCUAGGCGACGAUCCCUAGCUGGUCUGAGAGGAUGACCAGCCACACUGGAACUGAGACACGGUCCAGACUCCUACGGGAGGCAGCAGUGGGGAAUAUUGCACAAUGGGCGCAAGCCUGAUGCAGCCAUGCCGCGUGUGUGAAGAAGGCCUUCGGGUUGUAAAGCACUUUCAGCGAGGAGGAAGGCAUAAAGGUUAAUAACCUUUGUGAUUGACGUUACUCGCAGAAGAAGCACCGGCUAACUCCAUGCCAGCAGCCGCGGUAAUACGGAG
Molecule: ribosomal RNA, 540 nt
Filed under: Yersinia enterocolitica subsp. palearctica YE-P1
Lineage: Bacteria; Pseudomonadati; Pseudomonadota; Gammaproteobacteria; Enterobacterales; Yersiniaceae
Description: bacterial SSU rRNA
Rfam family: Bacterial small subunit ribosomal RNA
Source: RNAcentral